RNAcentral lists this unclassified non-coding RNA (1188 nucleotides) under Hevea brasiliensis (rubber tree). Lineage: Eukaryota; Viridiplantae; Streptophyta; Magnoliopsida; Malpighiales; Euphorbiaceae. The record is from RNAcentral.
GAACAAAUAGAGCCUAAUUUAAAUUUAAUUCAUCGUAUAUUUAAAAUAUAAAUAUAUACUUAUUUUACAUGUGGGUCUCACCAUAUAUGUGUUUUACAUGUAAAUCUUAUCAACAGAGUGUAUACAUUCAACCAAUCUACGCAUGCCACAUAGUAUAUAAAAUCAUGGUAGGACCUACUUAAAAUAAUAGUUUAUUAAUUUUUUAUUGAUUGAAUAUAUAUACAUCCACGUGCAUACAAGAACUUUUCUAUGAAUAGUACAUCCCACCUGAUUAUAAAAGAUGAUGCAUAUGCAAUUGGUGCAUCUAAUAACCUCCCACAAGGAAAAAUAUGCAUCUAAUAAUCUCCCACAGGUAAAGAUAUUCAUUAAAUCCGAAGCCACCCAUGAGGCUCAGAAGUUAGUACGUCUCGGCGACCCUUGAAGUAAACAACCAUCUUAUCCCUGGGAGGCAAAUUGUCCUUGAUCAAAGGAUGGUUGAUAAAUCUGUGCAUCCAUGAAGAAAUUGCUGGAAAUUGCUGGCUCUCGAGGAUCUUCAUAGAUCCAACUUCUUCCCAUACAGGCAACCAGUAAGAGAUCCAUCCUACAGCAAUGUCCACAUAUCCAAUUCUUUCUCCUCCAAAAAAUUGCUUCCCUUUUAGUUUUAGCUCUUCCUCUGUCUUUUGCAGGGCUUCAAUGGUCAAUUUUAUUGCUCUUUCUUUUUCAUCUCCAAAGGAGCACAGGGCAUUCCAUGCAGCUUCCGUAAUCUUCUCUUCUGCAAAUUUAGCCCAGAAGCGGGCCUGGGCUCUUUCAUGAGGAUCUUGAGGCAGUAACGUAUACUUGUCCUUCCAUGUCUCGUCGAUAUACUCGAGGAUAAUGAAGGACUCAGCGAUUAUUUUCUUGUUGUGAAUAAGUACAGGGACCUUCUUAUGGACGGGAUUUAGCUGAAUAAGCGAAGAGCUCUUGUUAAAGAUGUCUUCUUCUAUGUACUCGUAAUCAACGCCUUUCAGUUUCAGAGCCCACUCUACUCUGCGCACAAAUGGGCUAACCCAGAAACCUAAAACCUUCACCACCUCCUCCUUUGCCAUGAGAGAUUCUGCUAUUUUUCUUUGAGCUGAUGAGUAAUAACUGGCAAGUUCAGUGUUAUUUGUAUACGUCCUCCGUCAGUGCUGAGAACCUCAGUGCGAUGGGACGCUGCUGGUUGGUGUUGAC